Molecule: ribosomal RNA, 491 nt
Filed under: uncultured bacterium
Lineage: Bacteria
Description: bacterial SSU rRNA
Rfam family: Bacterial small subunit ribosomal RNA
Source: RNAcentral
GAUGAACGCUAGCUACAGGCUUAACACAUGCAAGUCGAGGGGAAACGAUAGAGAAAGCUUGCUUUUUCUAGGCGUCGACCGGCGCACGGGUGAGUAACGCGUAUCCAACCUGCCCACCACUUGGGGAUAACCUUGCGAAAGUAAGACUAAUACCCAAUGACGUCUCUAGAAGACAUCUGAAAGAGAUUAAAGAUUUAUCGGUGAUGGAUGGGGAUGCGUCUGAUUAGCUUGUUGGCGGGGUAACGGCCCACCAAGGCGACGAUCAGUAGGGGUUCUGAGAGGAAGGUCCCCCACAUUGGAACUGAGACACGGUCCAAACUCCUACGGGAGCAGCAGUGAGGAAUAUUGGUCAAUGGACGAGAGUCUGAACCAGCCAAGUAGCGUGCAGGAUGACGGCCCUAUGGGUUGUAAACUGCUUUUAUAAGGGAAUAAAGUGAGUCUCGUGAGACUUUUUGCAUGUACCUUAUGAAUAAGGACCGGCUAAUUCCGUG